GCAGCUGCACUCCUAGUAGGGCAAGUUAACUACCUCGAUCGCGCCCCGUCUUACAUCGGGCGUGAUGCGCCUGCAUAGUUACGCUUUUCUCAGCGCUUGAACGUUCAUAGAUGUGCUUCUUUUGUGCGUUCAGCGCGGCUUCUUGUAAUACGGUCGCUCGCACUUAAGUUAAAUGUGGUCGACCACUUUUGCGUCGCGUAGAAAAAGGACGACUGACUUUGCCACCUUUCGAAAGAACUGGCGCGGUAUUGGUUCUCCCUGAUGCGGUCGCGUGCUGCUGUUGCUGCUUGCCGGGCGCCUUUAACAUGUUUUCGGCUCGCUUUGUCUGUGCGUGUGUGCGCGCUCGCGCUCGGCUCGAUUCGUGUGUGUGCGUGCGCUCAGCUCAGCUCGCUUUGUGUGUGUGUGUGUGUGUGUGUGUGUGUGUGUGCAUGCAUGCGUGCGUCUUGCGCGCGCAUACAUGCCGGUUUGUAUGGGCCGGCGUGCUUGCGUGUGUCUAGUGCGUACGUGUUUUGUGAGCGUGUUUCUGUGUGGGUCACUGUGUGUGCGUGCACGUGUUAGCGUGUCUGCCUGCAUGUAUGUGUGAUUGUUUGUGUUUAUCAAUGUGCGCGUACGUGCCUUUGUGUCUGCGCUUUGAGAGUGCGUAUAUUUGUGUGCGCGCGAGUGCGUUUUGUGUGCGUGCGUAUGUAUUGCAUAAGGCCGGUAGAGUUUUACUCGCAAUAAAACUCUUCCAAUUUGGUGCAGCGAGUGUUGCCGCCUGAAAGCCGAGUUUGGUUUCAAGCCAACCUGGACAACUGCUGUAUGAGGCGCUGUUUCUCAGGAGGAUCAGUGGGAAGGCGUCAGGUCAUGCAGAUGAUAGCAUCAAUUUCACGAUGCCCAGCCUUGGUGCCCUCCAUUAAGAGCAAGCCACUUGCGUUUGCCUUCAGGCAGAUUGUUGAUGUCUUCUAGGAAGCAGUUGGGAAGACUACAUUGAUGCAAGAUUCCAGCAAUGCCAUGCGCUGCAUUUAUUGGUCAAGAUGCUCAGAGAAUGGAGUCCCUGCACCUCGUGGUGAAACGUGAACAUUUUCUUUCUUUUGGAAAGCUAAACGUCAUUUGCUGUAUCAAUUGCAUUCUUGCAGCUCAGAUGUGUACUAUAUUUUUUCUAAUUUUGAAUCAAUUAAUAUUCACUGUUCAGUAUAAAAAUGACGUACAGUGUGAAGGACAAGGACUGCGAGAGAUGACAUACACUGCGCUGACUUCCAACAAUAUUUUAUUGCGUUGCCACAUCGUGUGUUUAUACGCAAAAAGGGCCAUGCGCAGAAAAUGAAAGGCAGUCACAAGGGGU
This is a long non-coding RNA of Dermacentor andersoni, 1321 nucleotides long. RefSeq lists it as uncharacterized. Lineage: Eukaryota; Metazoa; Arthropoda; Arachnida; Ixodida; Ixodidae. The record is from RefSeq and is a predicted model, not a curated record.